CGGCGUGCCUAAUACAUGCAAGUCGAACGCAUUGUGGUUGAAAUGAUAUGAAGAACUUGUUCAGAUUUGAUUUUCAACAUUGCAAUGAGUGGCGAACGGGUGAGUAACACGUGGGAAACCUACCUCUUAGCAGGGGAUAACAUUUGGAAACAAUGCUAAUACCGUAUAAUAAUUAAAACCGCAUGGUUUUAGUUUAAAAGAUGGUCUUGCUAUCACUAAGAGAUGGUCCCGCGGUGUAUUAGUUAGUUGGUGAGGUAAUGGCUCACCAAGACAAUGAUACAUAGCCGAGUUGAGAGACUGACCGGCCACAAUGGGACUGAGACACGGCCCAUACUCCUACGGGAGGCAGCAGUAGGGAAUCUUCCACAAUGGACGAAAGUCUGAUGGAGCAACGCCGCGUGUGUGAUGAAGGGUUUCGGCUCGUAAAACACUGUUGUAAGAGAAGAAUGACAUUGAGAGUAACUGUUCAAUGUGUGACGGUAUCUUACCAGAAAGGAACGGCUAAAUACGUG
This 512-nucleotide ribosomal RNA is filed under the name uncultured bacterium. RNAcentral describes it as "bacterial SSU rRNA". It matches the Rfam family "Bacterial small subunit ribosomal RNA", at positions 40 to 507 of the family's 1533-position model. The record is from RNAcentral.